CCUACGGGUGGCAGCAGUGGAGAAUAUUGCGCAAUGGGCGAAAGCCUGACGCAGCGACGCCGCGUGAGGGAUGAAGGUCUUCUGAUCGUAAACCUCUGUCAGCAGGGAAGAACGGUCACUGUGCUAAUCAGCAGUGAAUUGACGGUACCUGCAAAGGAAGCAUCGGCUAACUCCGUGCCAGCAGCCACGGUAAUACGGAGGAUGCGAGCUUUAUCCGGAUUUAUUGGGUUUAAGGGGUGCGUAGGCGGAAUGCCAAGUCAGCGGUAAAAUCGCGGGGCUCAACCUCGAUCCGCCGUUGAAACUGGCGUUCUUGAGUGGGGGAGAAGUAUGCGGAAUGCGGGGUGUAGCGGUGAAAUGCAUAGAUAUCACGAAGAACUCUGAUUGCGAAGGCAGCAUACCGGAGCCCAACUGACGCUGAAGCACGAAAGCGUGGGUAUCGAACAGGAUUAGAUACCCCGGUAGUC
Molecule: ribosomal RNA, 464 nt
Filed under: uncultured bacterium
Lineage: Bacteria
Description: partial 16S ribosomal RNA
Rfam family: Bacterial small subunit ribosomal RNA
Source: RNAcentral